UUAGAGUUUGAUCCUGGCUCAGGAUGAACGCUGGCGGCGUGCUUAACACAUGCAAGUCGAACGAGGUAAGUAUUGGAAAGUCUUCGGACCGGAAGAUACUUGCCGAGUGGCGGACGGGUGAGUAACGCGUGGGUAACCUGCCUCAUACAGGGGGAUAACAGUCAGAAAUGGCUGCUAAUACCGCAUAAGCGCACAGUGUCACAUGACACGGUGUGAAAAACUCCGGUGGUAUGAGAUGGACCCGCGUCUGAUUAGCUAGUUGGUAAGGUAAUGGCUUACCAAGGCGACGAUCAGUAGCCGACCUGAGAGGGUGACCGGCCACAUUGGGACUGAGACACGGCCCAAACUCCUACGGGAGGCAGCAGUGGGGAAUAUUGCACAAUGGGGGAAACCCUGAUGCAGCGACGCCGCGUGAGUGAUGAAGUAUUUCGGUAUGUAAAGCUCUAUCAGCAAGGAAGAAAAAAGACGGUACUUGACUAAGAAGCCCCGGCUAACUACGUGCCAGCAGCCGCGGUAAUACGUAGGGGGCAAGCGUUAUCCGGAUUUACUGGGUGUAAAGGGAGCGUAGACGGCAUGGCAAGUCAGAA
This 587-nucleotide ribosomal RNA is filed under the name uncultured Eubacteriales bacterium. Its description in RNAcentral is "bacterial SSU rRNA". It matches the Rfam family "Bacterial small subunit ribosomal RNA", at positions 1 to 593 of the family's 1533-position model. Lineage: Bacteria; Bacillati; Bacillota; Clostridia; Eubacteriales. The record is from RNAcentral.